UUUUUUUUUAUUGGAGUUCAAUUUGCCAACAUAUAGCAUAACACCCAGUGCUCAUCCCAAGUGCCCCCCUCAGUGCCCAUCACCCAGUCACCCCAACCCCUCAACUCACUUCCCCUUCUACCACCCCUUGUUCAUUUCCCAGAGUUAGGUGUCUCUCUCUGUUUCUUGCCAUCCCCAAAACCACCAGAAGUUUUCCUUCAGGUUGUGACACUGCCACAAAAUCUUUUUACAAAACACACUUUAACCAGAUAAAUUUAAAAACCUAACGGGCUUUAUUCAAUAAUUCAUGAAUUGGCAGUAUCCUACCCAGUAAGUAGAAAGGAUCUCUGUAAAGCUGUACAAAAUGGAAAACAUUUAUAGACAGAAGGUGGGACAAGGAAGUUAGCAACAAAGAGUGUAUUGUUUCAGGCAAGAUCACCUUCCUUUGAAGAAUGGCAAGGGUCUAUCAGACAGAUUAUCUCACUGACUGUUGAUGAUGUAAUUCCAGUCUGGCUGGUUAAGAUUAUAUUCCCAGGGAGGCUGAAACUGCAAUUAGGUGAGGUAUUAAGUCUCAGUUUGAUGAUGUGGGCUUAGCACAAGUGAGUCUAUUUUGGGUCUGCUGUCUCUUUUUUAACACACUGAAAUCUUAGGCAGCAACCAAUUGAUUGGCAAGGUAUUAAAGGGAAGUAAACUAUUGGAAUUCCUGAACUCGUAUAAUCCCAAUACUCGUAAGAGUAUGAGGUAGCCUCAUACUCUACCUUGGAAUAAUAUGUGAUGUCAAAGUUCUCUUUUUAAGAGAUAAGAAAAUAACUUAUAAUGCUGUGAUCAUGGGAAAAAUAUGAAUUGAGAGGUACAUUUUUAAACUUUUAAAAUUAAGGAGGAUUAGAGAAAAAUGAGAACAAGCUCAUUUGCCUCAACACUAGAAUAAUAGAUUAUCCCUGGGAAAAUUUUAAGGGCUGAUUUUAAGUCUUAAAACUACUAGUGGUAAGUAUAAGUAUUUGAAACUUGUUAUCUAUUUGGAAAUGAGUCAAAUAUAAAAAAAAUCUAUGAUGAGAUAGUAGAUAAUUACAUAUCAGGUUAAGGGUAAAAUGAGAAAACUUUGGAAGAAUUUUGGAUCUCAAAAGUUAAGGCAGCCACAUCUUCCCAUGAAACAAAGUUUGAUGCUGUUGUUUAGAAACAUAACUGGUGGGCAGCCCUGUCUGAUUUUUUUAAAAUCAAAAAUAUGUUUAUACAUUCUGCAGUUAGGGUAUGCUGUUUGCUGUGAUUCUGGUCAUACUCAGAGCAAAGAUUAAUGAUUUAGGAGGGGGAAAAUAUAACAACUUCACUACAAAUGGCUAAGGCUAUGUCACCACAACAAAGUAGUUGGCAAGACACAUAGGCAAUCCAAUCAUAUAAGUAUAGUUUUCCUAUUGUACAGAUGAGAAAACUGAGCCUGUAAGUCCAAUGAUCAACUCAAAAAACAUCCAAAAAGUAGUAGGCCUGGGAACUUAAACUCACAAUAAAUAGACUCCUGGAGGAAUCAGGUGGCAGUAACGUCAAGCACAAGUUGCUCAGAUUAACCAUGGAAAAAGGGGACCCCACUAAGAAAAACAAUGAGAGGAGGUACAAAAAAUUUUCUGAUUAAGGAAAAAGAAGUUGAUGGUAUAAUAAUCCUGUUGAUGGCCACAGGAUUAUUUCUCAAUAUUCUCAGUAAAUCAAGAAAGCUUAAUGGUUGAGUGUAAAAGAUUAAGAGUGAGGACACAAGACAUAUAGAAAUGGACUGGAACUGACACAUCAAAAUGUGAUGUCACAUCCCAGAGAACAGGACAGAUUGCAUAAAUUUCUAUAGGAUCCAACUAGUAUGCUUUUAUGACCUUCUAUAACUGGCAGGAUGAGAACUGAGAAUACAAGUAGUCGAGUUGCAUUCGAUGCUGGAAUUGACACACCAGAUCCACAGCAAAAUGAAACUGCAAGAGUAUUGCACUCUCAAAAUGUCAAAGUUUAGUCACUGAUCAUGAGACUCAGAGGAGAUAUGAAUUCAAAACAAUUCAAAAGUAAAUCGAUGGGGAGGGGAGGAACUUUAAAAAUAAAAAGUAAAUAUUAGGUUAUUUGGUGUAAGGAAAUGUUUAAGUUGCAACUUUAAAAAAAUUGAUGAGAAAUGGAAACACUGAAAAUACUACUGCUAUAAUUAUUAUUAUAACCGAUCUUAAGAUAUUAGAAGUAAACCACUCUAGGCAGGGAUGAGAUCCCAUUGGAAUAAUUAUGGUGAUAAAGUAAAGGUGAAGAAAUGAGGAAGUUAAGAAAAAAAAUCAAGUGUCCAAUAAUUAAAAAUUUUGAAGGACGUUCAUAGGAGGUAAAGUAAAAAGGCAAACAAUAAACUGAAAUUAUCAAGAUGGAUGAGAGUCAUGGACAUUGGUCAAUGAAUAACACUGAGGCUAGAAAAAAGAGAGUACAAUGCAUAAAAGGUGUUCAAAAUAUAGUAUAAGGUCAUUUAUAUACAAAUUAUGUGACAAAGCAAGUCUCAAUGCAAAAUCUCUUCCUAUUCCAAUAAGUAAGCAAUAAAGGUAGAAGUUGAAUCUCCUAAAAAGGGAUAUGAUGGUAUCAGGAAAUUUUUGAUUAAGAUUAGAUUUUGAUUAUAGCAUAGCGAGAUGGAUAGCUACACUCAAGCGAAUUACAGGCGAUUUUAUGACUUUUCAGAUCCACAGAUAAUUGGACCAGGCUCUCAGAGCACAGUGAAGGCAGCUUCCAUAAACCUUUCACAUUAUCUUAUUCCUUCCUUCAUUCUAAAUAUUCCUUAAAAACACUGUACGAGGUAUAUGGUAUAUACAACAGUGAUCAAAACAGAGAUGGUUCUAGUUCUCAGUAGCCUAAGUUCUUUGCUGUAAACAUGUAAAAGUCUGGAUGAUAUUUAAUAGGAUCAAAUUUAAGGAUAAGCUAAUCAGUCUCUCAUUUAUAAAUUAAGAAACUAAGGUACAAAUAAUUAGCAUCAGAGUCACAGCUAGAAGCCAGGUGUCUGGGUUACUAGCCCAGAGCUUUUAGAUUAAAUUAUAUCAAAUCACUCUAGCAUUGCACCAAGCUUCUUCGAAGACUACGCUAAGAAAAAAGUGUUGUUUUCAUAAUUCUAAGACACCUUCUUUAUACUUACUGCUUUGCAAUUUCCUCCCAAGCUCUGCUUUUCCCUAUAUGCCAUUUCAUUUGGAAAAGGACUGAUUAGAGAUUUCCCUAUUCUCUUUUUUAAUUCUUUUCCUACAGUGAAAAAUUCACUCAAUGGAUGGUAAAAAUAGAAAAUAGAACAAGUUAAGAAUCUGACAAAUCCUGGGCAUUCUUUUAAUUCCUUCUAACAUAGUGUCUUUUGAAGAACAGGUAAUCAAUGAGAAUGAUAUUUUUAAAUUACAAGUGUCCUUUCAGUAAUAAGUUAAUCUGCAAAUUAAAAUAUUAAAUGCUUAAAACUCAGUUCAUGAAAAAUCAUAGUAAUAGAUUUUUUUUAACUUUUACAUUAAAGAAUUGUUUUUGUGACUUUUAGGUUUCAUAAAUAUUUAAGGCCCAUAUGGUGUAUAUGCAGUAUGUGUUUCUGAAUCACCACUAUUGGAAUUAACUUAUCAUCAUAGCACAUGCUGACAUUUCUAUAGUUUUGGGUACACACUGUGCCUGACUUUUCCCACCAAAGGGCAGCUGUUAAGAAGCAAUAGUAAACUACCUAGACACGUUCUAUACUAUAUCUAGACCAAAGAAAAUAAUUUGAAAACUAAAAACUGGUCUCUGGAAAAAAGAGACUAUCUCAUUUAAAUCCCUUUCUACAGGAGGCAGAACGGCAGCACAGACAAAACGUGGGCUUUUAAUGAUGAGAGGUGGACAUGGCUGAGGCCAGAUCUCUACAAAUGCCACCAGCUAAAUGCCAGGAGAGCAGAGAAUUCCUCCGGGGAUACAAAAAAAAAAAAAAAAA
This 3901-nucleotide long non-coding RNA is filed under the name Canis lupus familiaris (dog). RNAcentral's name for it is "lncRNA (ENSCAFG00845029964.1)". Lineage: Eukaryota; Metazoa; Chordata; Mammalia; Carnivora; Canidae. The record is from RNAcentral.